UUAUUUUGAGGUCGGAAAUGGUUCCCGACAUACUCUUUUGAGUACCUGAGAUGAUGGAUACACCGCCCAUCCAAAGUAG
Molecule: non-coding RNA, 79 nt
Submitted as: unclassified sequences
Source: Rfam